CUUAAAGCCUAGGCCACUGGUCUUCAACUUUUCUUUUCCUCCUUUUAGCUGCAAGAAGUGUGAUGGCUUGAAGCCCCACCUGCAGGAUGGCAGGACUGCCCUGCCUGCCCUGGUCCUGUCAUUCAGGCUUGAGUUCAAACAACCUCGGUAUUAUGAACAAGUGAUGCCUAAAUUGUUUGGAGUCAACUGACAUCUAUUCUUGAAAUGCCUUGCCCAG
RNAcentral lists this long non-coding RNA (217 nucleotides) under Cavia porcellus (domestic guinea pig). Its description in RNAcentral is "lncRNA (ENSCPOG00000030204.1)". Lineage: Eukaryota; Metazoa; Chordata; Mammalia; Rodentia; Caviidae. The record is from RNAcentral.